Molecule: ribosomal RNA, 301 nt
Filed under: uncultured bacterium
Lineage: Bacteria
Description: partial 16S ribosomal RNA
Rfam family: Bacterial small subunit ribosomal RNA
Source: RNAcentral
CAGUCGCCACGGUAAUACAGAGGGUGCGAGCGUUAAUCGGAUUUACUGGGCGUAAAGCGUGCGUAGGCGGCUUCUUAAGUCGGAUGUGAAAUCCCUGAGCUUAACUUAGGAAUUGCAUUCGAUACUGGGAAGCUAGAGUAUGGGAGAGGAUGGUAGAAUUCCAGGUGUAGCGGUGAAAUGCGUAGAGAUCUGGAGGAAUACCGAUGGCGAAGGCAGCCAUCUGGCAUAAUACUGACGCUGAGGUACGAAAGCAUGGGGAGCAAACAGGAUUAGAUACCCCUGUAGUCCCUGUCUCUUAUAC